AUUGGCAUGUCUUGGAAUGAA
This 21-nucleotide microRNA is filed under the name Bos taurus (domestic cattle). The record is from RNAcentral. Lineage: Eukaryota; Metazoa; Chordata; Mammalia; Artiodactyla; Bovidae.